GAUGAACGCUGGCGGCGUGCCUAAUACAUGCAAGUCGAGCGAACGGACGAGAAGCUUGCUUCUCUGAUGUUAGCGGCGGACGGGUGAGUAACACGUGGAUAACCUACCUAUAAGACUGGGAUAACUUCGGGAAACCGUAGCUAAUACCGGAUAAUAUUUUGAACCGCAUGGUUCAAAAGUGAAAGACGGUCUUGCUAUCACUUAUAGAUGGAUCCGCGCUGCAUUAGCUAGUUGGUAAGGUAACGGCUUACCAAGGCAACGAUGCAUAGCCGACCUGAGAGGGUGAUCGGCCACACUGGAACUGAGACACGGUCCAGACUCCUACGGGAGGCAGCAGUAGGGAAUCUUCCGCAAUGGGCGAAAGCCUGACGGAGCAACGCCGCGUGAGUGAUGAAGGUCUUCGGAUCGUAAAACUCUGUUAUUAGGGAAGAACAUAUGUGUAAGUAACUGUGCACAUCUUGACGGUACCUAAUCAGAAAGACACGGCUAACUACGUG
This 497-nucleotide ribosomal RNA is filed under the name uncultured bacterium. Its description in RNAcentral is "partial 16S ribosomal RNA". It matches the Rfam family "Bacterial small subunit ribosomal RNA", at positions 28 to 507 of the family's 1533-position model. The record is from RNAcentral.